This 70-nucleotide transfer RNA is filed under the name Echinoderes svetlanae. RNAcentral's name for it is "tRNA-Pro". The record is from RNAcentral. Lineage: Eukaryota; Metazoa; Kinorhyncha; Cyclorhagida; Echinoderidae.
CUUAAAAUAGUUUAAAAUUAAAGAAUAUAAGAUUUGGGGUUUUAUGGUAAUCUAAUUUGAUUUUUUUUGA